UCAGCUGUUGUUCCUUUUGGUCAUUCAAGCUGUCUUAUGGGGGUCGUCUCCAAGGACAGGACCACCGUACAGUCGGUGCACAUACCUAGCAGCCCACCAUGUGACAGUUGUGUGAUAAACUACCGAUUACCCAACAGGAGGGGCAUGUACUACAGGCAUGCUGUUGCCCCUGAUGAACAAAACAUUUGUGCCCCUGAAAACCAACGCAAGCAUUGCUGUCAUGCCUGAUGAACCAAACAUAAACACCGCUGGCAACCAGCCACUGCCCUGGCAACCAAAAAGACACUAUGAAGAGGAUAAAAACUCAAAGACUUCCAAAGUAGAAUGGAUACCCCUCCACUGAACUGCAGCCAUGCAGGUCAAGGAGGUGUUGCUGACCAACCUUCAGCCCUCUACAGACCAGCGAGACAUCACUGGAUCCACAGUGCCACUUACAGAUCAGAGCUGUGCCAAAGGGCAGGUCUCAUUCUCCUCCUCUGGGAUCCUCAUAGAAUAUUAUUUCUAAUUCUCAUUUGAAUCAAGGACCACAGAACGGAGGAAAACUCAGAAGGAACUAUGACAUGAAUUCAUUUCAUCCUCAAAAAUUGUUAACCUCUUAGACUCUUAUUUUCCUUUCCCUGUAAUUUUUUUCAUUCAUUACUUAAUUCAGAAUAAGAAACAAACUAGCUAAUGCUUGGCAAAAAAAAAAUGACUGAAAAUUGGCUGUAUCACUAGUGCCCUACGUUAUUCUAAAGAUACAACAGAGUAUGUGAUGUUAAUAAAUAUCACGCAGUUUGCCAAUUUAAA
Long non-coding RNA from Numida meleagris (helmeted guineafowl), 786 nucleotides. RefSeq lists it as uncharacterized. Lineage: Eukaryota; Metazoa; Chordata; Aves; Galliformes; Numididae. The transcript is spliced from 2 exons. The record is from RefSeq and is a predicted model, not a curated record.